RNAcentral lists this ribosomal RNA (253 nucleotides) under uncultured bacterium. RNAcentral's name for it is "partial 16S ribosomal RNA". It matches the Rfam family "Bacterial small subunit ribosomal RNA", at positions 524 to 776 of the family's 1533-position model. The record is from RNAcentral.
UACGAAGGGUGCAAGCGUUACUCGGAAUUACUGGGCGUAAAGCGUGCGUUAGGUGGUUUGUUAAGUCUGUUGUGAAAGCCCCGGGCUCAACCUGGGAAUGGCAAUGGAUACUGGCAAGCUAGAGUGCGGUAGAGGGUAGUGGAAUUCCCGGUGUAGCGGUGAAAUGCGUAGAGAUCGGGAGGAACACCAGUGGCGAAGGCGGCUACCUGGCCAGCACUGACACUGAGGCACGAAAGCGUGGGGAGCAAACAGG